This is a long non-coding RNA of Triplophysa rosa, 1754 nucleotides long. RefSeq lists it as uncharacterized. NCBI's taxonomy places the organism in Eukaryota, Metazoa, Chordata, Actinopteri, Cypriniformes, Nemacheilidae. The record is from RefSeq and is a predicted model, not a curated record. The transcript has 6 exons.
CUCGAGCGGAAGUUACGGAGAACCUCGAAGUCCACAAGAGCCGAAGUUGACAACUGGACUCUCAGUUGAUUAAAAAUUGCUGAGGAAGAUUAUGCUGCUUAUCUUACUCUGCCACCCGCUGGAAUCACACUGUAGGCCAGAAUCUGUGUCUAAUGACAUCCAGAGAGCAGAACAGCGUGUGAUAUUUUCAACACAGACGUCUCGCUUCUGAAAGAAAGUGCCACUGUCUCACUAUUCAGACUGCUGCAGACGACAACCUGUUCCAGCAUCAGCCACUCGCCCAUGAUGUGUCUCGCUCUCAUUAGUACAUCCAUGUGCUCCGCAUUCCCGUGUUCUCCCGCUGUACUGUGGAUAUUGUGAAGGCUGUGGCUCUUUAAAGUGGAGGAAGAUGAAGAGAAGACGAGGAUGACGAUUAGGGCUCUUUAAAAUGAUGAAAUUAGCGUUAGGGUUGAUGUGACAUUUCAAGUCUUGUCAACAGCGUCCUGCAGUGACAUGUCAUACAUCAUCUAAAACUAUACUUUAAAGAACAUUUUUCAAUUCUUGUAUAAUUAUUGACUACCCAUAUGCAGUAUAUCCAACUAUAUUAAUAUUAUUGAGAUAAUGACCAUAUUAAUAUUAAAUAAUGAACCCUUCAUGGACAAUUUUUAUUGAGAAUUGUGGUUGUACACUGUUAGACAUUUCUGUAAUUUUUACAGUUAUUUACUUUAUAUCACCCAGUAUGAUACAGCAAUUUCUCUAUGCAGUAAAUAACUGUAAUUUCCAUUGCAUUGUGGGAAUUUUGUGUGAGGUCAAACACUAAAUACAGUGAUUUACUGUAUUUUUAAAAUUUGAUGUAUUUUACUGUAUUUCCCCUAACGGUCUUUAAACAGACAGUAAUUAUUUUGCUCAUUUCCGAGGGAUAGCAUAUAGGCUUUGCCCUGCGUUUUGAAAAAGGAACCCGACAGCAGCACGGAGAAGGUUUAUACCGGGGAAGUAUGUUUGAGAGACACAGUUCUGGGAAACACCUGACCUGAGCUGAAGAUGUAACGGUGUGUUUUCGGCGGAGCUGAGAGGGACAUUGCCAUUUCAGCGAAUAUUUUAUACCUGAGAGAACCGCACGUUUUCGACGGAGCUGAGAGAGCCGUAAAACGAAGAACGAUUUUUAUUCCCAUGAGAGCAAAAAGCAAGAAGAAAGAAAGUCAUGCAGGUCUGAAAUGACAAGAGGAUUUUUAGUGAGGAUAAAUCCAGAGGAUGGAACAAAGUGCACCGCAAAGACUGGAGUGAGUCGAAAGACAGGCGAAAUUGUGAAGAGAAAAACAACAGCUAUUAACACCAGGGUAUCAUCCUUCCUUCGCCACCUCACGGAAUUUGAGUCGUAUUUGAUGUACAGGGUUUGCCUGAUAACACAGCAUCAGAAAGAGACAUGUAACCUUCUGCAACCCACACCCCUCCUGCGUCCUUCUGCUCACCAUCCAUCCUUUAUCUCCAAAGUCCCUUCCAAGGAAACAGACAUUCAUCGCUUAAUAAAAUGCUUUGUUUUACUUAUGUAGCUGUUGGCUCCUGAUUGCCCUUAAAUUGAACUAGAGUACACCAACUUAGAAUUGUCAUUAAACAAAAUGCCACUUUGAUUUUAUACCGAAAAUACAGUAUGUUUACUGUUAUUUAUAUUUAUUUUCUUCACAUUUGUUGCUGUUAACUGCUGUUUGAUGCAGUUAAUGGUGAAUUCCAUUUAAAAUCAGUUCUGUAUGCAGUCCAUAGACAAUUCUAUACAAUCA